UACGGGGGGUGCGAGCGUUGUCCGGAAUCACUGGGCGUAAAGGGCGCGUAGGUGGUUUGAUAAGGGUGUGGUGAAAGUCCGGAGCUCAACUCCGGAUCUGCCGUGCCGACUGUCAAACUCGAGGGCUGUAGAGGCAGACGGAAUUCCGGGUGUAGCGGUGGAAUGCGUAGAGAUCCGGAGGAAGACCGGUGGCGAAGGCGGUCUGCUGGGCAGUUUCUGACACUGAGGCGCGACAGCGUGGGGAGCAAACAGG
Molecule: ribosomal RNA, 253 nt
Filed under: uncultured bacterium
Lineage: Bacteria
Description: partial 16S ribosomal RNA
Rfam family: Bacterial small subunit ribosomal RNA
Source: RNAcentral